AUUGAACGCUGGCGGAAUGCUUUACACAUGCAAGUCGAACGGCAGCACGGGGGCAACCCUGGUGGCGAGUGGCGAACGGGUGAGUAAUACAUCGGAACGUGCCCAAUCGUGGGGGAUAACGUAGCGAAAGCUACGCUAAUACCGCAUACGAUCUACGGAUGAAAGCGGGGGAUCGCAAGACCUCGCGCGAAUGGAGCGGCCGAUGGCAGAUUAGGUAGUUGGUGGGGUAAAGGCUCACCAAGCCGACGAUCUGUAGCUGGUCUGAGAGGACGACCAGCCACACUGGAACUGAGACACGGUCCAGACUCCUACGGGAGGCAGCAGUGGGGAAUUUUGGACAAUGGGCGCAAGCCUGAUCCAGCCAUUCCGCGUGAGUGAAGAA
Molecule: ribosomal RNA, 382 nt
Filed under: uncultured bacterium
Lineage: Bacteria
Description: bacterial SSU rRNA
Rfam family: Bacterial small subunit ribosomal RNA
Source: RNAcentral